CCUACGGGUGGCAGCAGUGAGGAAUAUUGGUCAAUGGCCGGAAGGCUGAACCAGCCAAGCCGCGUGAAGGACGAAGGUGCCAAGCAUUGUAAACUUCUUUUGUCAAGGGACAAAAUCAGGCUCGAGAGCCUGACCGAGGGUACUUGAAGAAAAAGCAUCGGCUAAAUCCGGGCCAGCAGCCGCGGUAAUACGGAGGAUGCGAGCGUGAUCCGGAUUAAUUGGGUUUAAAGGGUGCGUAGGCGGACUGUUAAGUCAGCGGUAAAAGCAUGGGGCUCAAGCCCGGCGAGCCGUUGAAACUGGCUGGUUUGAGAUGUCGAGAGGUAUGCGGAAUGCGCAGUGUAGCGGUGAAAGGCUUAGAUAUUGCGCAGAACUCCGAUUGCGAAGGCAGCAUACCGGCGGCGAUCUGACGCUGAGGCACGAAAGCGUGGGUAUCGAACAGGAUUAGAUACCCUUGUAGUC
This 459-nucleotide ribosomal RNA is filed under the name uncultured bacterium. Its description in RNAcentral is "partial 16S ribosomal RNA". It matches the Rfam family "Bacterial small subunit ribosomal RNA", at positions 338 to 795 of the family's 1533-position model. The record is from RNAcentral.